This 432-nucleotide ribosomal RNA is filed under the name uncultured bacterium. RNAcentral's name for it is "bacterial SSU rRNA". It matches the Rfam family "Bacterial small subunit ribosomal RNA", at positions 30 to 507 of the family's 1533-position model. The record is from RNAcentral.
CGAACGCUGGCGGCAGGCUUAACACAUGCAAGUCGAACGCCCUCUUCGGAGGGAGUGGCAGACGGGUGAGUAACGCGUGGGAACCUACCCAGUAGUACGGAUAACUCAGGGAAACUUGUGCUAAUACCGUAUACGCCCUACGGGGGAAAGAGUUUAUCGCUAUUGGAUGGGCCCGCGUUGGAUUAGUUUGUUGGUGAGGUAACGGCUCACCAAGGCUACGAUCCAUAGCUGGUCUGAGAGGAUGAUCAGCCACACUGGGACUGAGACACGGCCCAGACUCCUACGGGAGGCAGCAGUGGGGAAUAUUGGACAAUGGGGGAAAACCCUGAUCCAGCCAUGCCGCGUGAGUGAAGAAGGCCCUAGGGUUGUAAAGCUCUUUCGCUAGGGAAGAUAAUGACGGUACCUAGUAAAGAAGCCCCGGCUAACUUCGUG